AUUGAACGCUGGCGGCAUGCCUUACACAUGCAAGUCGAACGGUAACAGGUCUUCGGAUGCUGACGAGUGGCGAACGGGUGAGUAAUACAUCGGAACGUGCCCAGUCGUGGGGGAUAACGAAGCGAAAGCUUUGCUAAUACCGCAUACGAUCUACGGAUGAAAGCGGGGGAACGCAAGACCUCGCGCGAUUGGAGCGGCGGAUGGCAGAUUGGGUAGUUGGUGGGGUAAAGGCUUACAAAGCCUACGAUCUGUAGCUGGUCUGAGAGGACGACCAGCGACACUGGGACUGAGACACGGCCCAGACUCCUACGGGAGGCAGCAGUGGGGAAUUUUGGACAAUGGGCGCAAGCCUGAUCCAGCAAUGCCGCGUGCAGGAUGAAGGCCUUCGGGUUGUAAACUGCUUUUGUACGGAACGAAAAGCUCUGGGUUAAUACCCUGGGGUCAUGACGGUACCGUAAGAAUAAGCACCGGCUAACUACGUGCCAGCAGCCGCAGUAA
Molecule: ribosomal RNA, 498 nt
Filed under: uncultured bacterium
Lineage: Bacteria
Description: partial 16S ribosomal RNA
Rfam family: Bacterial small subunit ribosomal RNA
Source: RNAcentral